RNAcentral lists this ribosomal RNA (586 nucleotides) under uncultured marine eukaryote. RNAcentral describes it as "SSU rRNA". It matches the Rfam family "Eukaryotic small subunit ribosomal RNA", at positions 1 to 598 of the family's 1831-position model. The record is from RNAcentral.
UACCUGGUUGAUCCUGCCAGUAGUCAUAUGCUUGUCUCAAAGAUUAAGCCAUGCAUGUCUAAGUAUAAGUAUUGUACAGCGAAACUGCAGACGGCUCAUUAAAACAGUUAUGGUUUAUUUGAUGGUUCAUUGCUACUUGGAUAACCGUAGUAAUUCUAGAGCUAAUACAUGCACGAAGGGGCGACUUACGAAGCCCUGUAUUUAUUAGAUUAAAGCCAAUCCCGCAAGGGUCGUGGUGAAUCAUAGUAACUUCUCGGAUCGCCGGCCCUGUGCCAGCGACGUGUCAUUCAAAUUUCUGCCCUAUCAGCUUUAGAUGGUAGGAUAUGGGCCUACCAUGGCGGUGACGGGUGACGGAGAAUUAGGGUUCGAUUCCGGAGAGGGAGCCUGAGAAACGGCUACCACUUCUAAGGAAGGCAGCAGGCGCGCAAAUUACCCAAUCCUGAUUCAGGGAGGUAGUGACAAGAAAUAACAAUAGUUCGCCCUAGUGGUAAGCUAAUUGGAAUGAGUACAAUUUAAACAUCUUAACGAGCACCAAUUGGAGGGCAAGUCUGGUGCCAGCAGCCGCGGUAAUUCCAGCUCCAAUAGC